GAUGAACGCUGGCGGCGUGCCUAAUACAUGCAAGUCGAGCGAACGGACGCGAAGCUUUCUUCUCUGAUGUUAGCGGCGGACGGGUGAGUAACACGUGGAUAACCUACCUCUAAUACUGGGAUAACUUCGGGAAACCGUAGCUAAUACCGGAUAAUAUUUUGAACCGCAUGGUUCAAAAGUGAAAGACGCUCUUGCUGUCACUUAUAGAUGGAGUCGCGCUGCAUUAGCUAGUUGGUAAGGUAACGGCUUACCAAGGCAACGAUGCAUAGCCGACCUGAGAGGGUGAUCGGCCACACUGGAACUGAGACACGGUCCAGACUCCUACGGGAGGCAGCAGUAGGGAAUAUUCCGCAAUGGGCGAAAGCCUGACGGAGCAACGCCGCGUGAGUGAUGAAGGUCUUCGGAUUGUAAAACUCUGUUAUUAGGGAAGAAAAUAUGUGUAAGUAACUGUGCACAUCUUGACGGUACCUAAUCAGAAAGCCACGGCUAACUACGUG
Molecule: ribosomal RNA, 497 nt
Filed under: uncultured bacterium
Lineage: Bacteria
Description: partial 16S ribosomal RNA
Rfam family: Bacterial small subunit ribosomal RNA
Source: RNAcentral